GGACCAUGAUGACCCUUGUUGCAUGCUGCGAAAAAAUGGAGCAAGUCACUUACAAUUAUAUGAAAACAAAUACAAGAAAAUUACGGAACAUUUCGAGGAGCAGAAAGAACAUUUAUCUAAUAUAGAAGGCAAUAAAAGAAAAAAAAGUUUACUAAAUACAAUACCCUAUUUGCUGAAGAGUCAUCCAAAAGCUAGAUUCAAGAUUAAUAUAUGCACAUGGAAAUAGCCUUCUCUUGUUUUACUUAUUCAACAAAUUAUGCUGGAGAAUGUACCUAUCUCGUCGCCAGUAUGAAAAUCAAAUACAUGAAUCCACAUAUCUUCUC
Molecule: unclassified non-coding RNA, 323 nt
Filed under: Hevea brasiliensis (rubber tree)
Lineage: Eukaryota; Viridiplantae; Streptophyta; Magnoliopsida; Malpighiales; Euphorbiaceae
Source: RNAcentral